CAGGGUGUCAUGAGCCAUGUGUGGGCAGUGAGACUCUUGGUGUGAAAUUUCAAAUCCUUCUGACUGAAGACCGUCCUCCCCUCAGCCAGCGGGGGCGCAGCUGAGGAUGCUUGGACCCCCGGAUCUGGCUAUGGAAGAAACCACACCAUACACUGGAUGCUGAUUCAAAGCAUACGCUGCCUUCUGGAGAAACCUGCCCCUGCCCUCCAGGCUGCUGCACCUGAUUGGCUCUGUAACUGUGCCUUUAAAAGGCCACUUCUGUCAGGACAGCUGCUUGGGGAUGGUGGGGAACGUAGUAAAACCAGUGGAUUCCAUGAUCACGGUGAGAAGGAACACUGAGUGUAAUACCAUGCAAAACAUAAUUUUCUAUAGUCCCAUUUAAAACAAACAAACGCAUUUAAAAAUGUCUAAUUGGAAAACCUAAA
This is a long non-coding RNA of Mastomys coucha (southern multimammate mouse), 425 nucleotides long. RefSeq lists it as uncharacterized. The record is from RefSeq and is a predicted model, not a curated record. The transcript is spliced from 2 exons. NCBI's taxonomy places the organism in Eukaryota, Metazoa, Chordata, Mammalia, Rodentia, Muridae.